GAAGAACGCUGGCGGCGUGCCUAAUACAUGCAAGUAGGACGCAGUUGUGAACGGGUGAGUAACGCGUAGGUAACUACCUAUUAGAGGGGGAUAACUAUUGGAAACGAUAGCUAAUACCGCAUACUAGUAGAUGGACCUGCGUUGUAUUAGCUAGUAGGUAGGGUAAUGGGCUAACUAGGCAACGAUACAUUGCCGACCUGGGAGGGUGAUCAGCCACACUGGGACUGAGGCACGGCCCCGACUCCUUCGGGAUGCAGCAGGAGGGAAUCUUCGGCAAUGGGGUGAACCCUGAACGAGCAACGCCGCGGGAGUGAAGAAGGUUUUCGGAUCGUAAAGCUCUGUUGUUAAGGGAGCGGUACUUAACCAGAAAGGGACGGCUAACUACGUGCCAGCAGCCGCGGUAAUUC
This 407-nucleotide ribosomal RNA is filed under the name uncultured bacterium. RNAcentral's name for it is "partial 16S ribosomal RNA". It matches the Rfam family "Bacterial small subunit ribosomal RNA", at positions 28 to 526 of the family's 1533-position model. The record is from RNAcentral.